This 590-nucleotide ribosomal RNA is filed under the name Carabus lusitanicus breuningi. Its description in RNAcentral is "partial large subunit ribosomal RNA". It matches the Rfam family "Bacterial large subunit ribosomal RNA", at positions 1921 to 2748 of the family's 2925-position model. The record is from RNAcentral. Lineage: Eukaryota; Metazoa; Arthropoda; Insecta; Coleoptera; Carabidae.
UUUUAAAUGGCCGCAGUAUUUUGACUGUGCAAAGGUAGCAUAAUCAUUAGUUUUUUAAUUAAAAGCUUGUAUGAAAGGCUGGACGAGGUAAAAUCUGUCUCUAUUUAAAUUAUAGUAGAAUUUAACUUUUAAGUUAAAAGGCUUAAAUAUUAUUAAAAGACGAGAAGACCCUAUAGAUCUUUAUAGUUUAUUAAAUUAAAUUAAUUUAGAAAUAUUAAUGUUUUAUUUAACUAAAUUAUUUUAUUGGGGUAAUAAAAAGAUUGAAUUAAUUCUUUUUUACAAUAAACAUUAAUUUAUGAAUAUUAAUGAUCCAGUUUUACUGAUUAUAAGAUUAAGUUACCUUAGGGAUAACAGCGUAAUUUUUUUAGAGAGUUCAUAUCGAUAAAAAAGUUUGCGACCUCGAUGUUGGAUUAAAGAUUAUUUUAGGUGUAGAAGCUUAAUAAUUUUGGUCUGUUCGACCAUUAAAUCUUUACAUGAUCUGAGUUCAGACCGGUGUAAGCCAGGUCGGUUUCUAUCUUUAAUAAAAUAAAAUAUUUUAGUACGAAAGGACCAAAUAUUUGAUAUAUUUAUAUUUAAUUUAUUGAAUAUUA